UACGUAGGGUGCGAGCGUUAAUCGGAAUUACUGGGCGUAAAGCGUGCGCAGGCGGUUUUGUAAGCCGGAUGUGAAAUCCCCGGGCUUAACCUGGGAAUGGCAUUCGGGACUGCAAGGCUGGAGUGCGGCAGAGGAGACUGGAAUUCCUGGUGUAGCAGUGAAAUGCGUAGAUAUCAGGAGGAACACCGUUGGCGAAGGCAGGUCUCUGGGCUGACACUGACGCUCAUGCACGAAAGCGUGGGGAGCAAACAGG
RNAcentral lists this ribosomal RNA (253 nucleotides) under uncultured bacterium. RNAcentral's name for it is "partial 16S ribosomal RNA". It matches the Rfam family "Bacterial small subunit ribosomal RNA", at positions 524 to 776 of the family's 1533-position model. The record is from RNAcentral.